RNAcentral lists this microRNA precursor (84 nucleotides) under Mesocricetus auratus (golden hamster). RNAcentral's name for it is "mir-221 microRNA precursor family". It matches the Rfam family "mir-221 microRNA precursor family". The record is from Rfam by way of RNAcentral. Lineage: Eukaryota; Metazoa; Chordata; Mammalia; Rodentia; Cricetidae.
UGGGGCUUGAACCUGGCAUACAAUGUAGAUUUCUGUGUUUAUUAGGCAACAGCUACAUUGUCUGCUGGGUUUCAGGCUACCUGG